UUCUUCUCUAUCUUCAUCUUUCUCCUUCACACACUACUCUAAUCUCCUCUAUUUCUCCCCUCCUCAUCUCCCUUUCCUUCUCCAAUCGCAUAUGAGUAGUGACCCGUCUAUUCUCUUCCUCCUUUUCCUUCUCUCUCCCUCCGUUUUCUACCACCCACGUUUACCGAAGUCUACCAUGAAUAUCGAUUACCUUGUGCGAGAGAAAACGGAUCAAUUCAAAGGUAGACUCAAAGAUAAACUCGUCUCCCCUCACGGACUUUAUUGAUUCUUUUGUUGACUUCCUCGAAUUGCCAAAAUUUCUGUGACACUUGCUACAUUAAAGGAGUUAAAAGGUGAGGGUGUGUAUUAGUAGUGAGGAGUAUCAGGAUUAGGAUUAUUAGGGUUAAGAUGAAGGGAACGGGGAUAGGAUACGAAAGAAGUAGAGGAUAAGGGUGCAAGAGAAAGGAGUUUGUAGCUUUGGAAUGAGGACGUUGCGUGAGAGGUUAAAUAUGAAACUAUAGUAGUGAAGGAUGUUUGUAUUACUCUUUCUCUCUCUCUCUCUCUCUCUCUCUCUCUCUCUCUCUCUCUCUCUCUCUCUUCGUUUAGGAAUAGAAAGAAAGACAAGUUGAUAUAUUUCUUUAGUUUACCUGAGAAUCAAACACUAAACUGAGAGAAAAGGGAAGAAGAAAGAAAGAAAAAGAGUACGAUGAUUUGAUAGAUAAAAGUGAACAAAGGAAAGAGAGAGAGAGAGAGAGAGAGAGAGAGAGAGAGGUGAUGGGGUCAGACUGCAUUCCAGCCUCUACUUAUACGCCCUUGCCUCAUAUCAAUACGUGCUUUGAAUAAGAUACCGACCAUAAAAAAAUGCAUUGUGGGGGUAACUUAAAUAAAUGUAAAUGGAGGUAAAUAAGAAUGUGUUGGUUGAUUAGUUAGUUAGUUAGGUGGUUGGUUAGAUAAUUAGUUGAUAAGGAAUGAAAUACAGAUACAAUUAGAUAGAGGCAUAAGAGGGUUACUAUAAAUGAAUGUUUGUGUGCGUUGUGAAAUGUAUAGAUGGAGGUGACAUUGAUAUAUAUUGUAAGUGUAGGUAAGGAGAUAAGUAUUAGUGGAAGUGGAUAGGGACAUAAGAAGGUUACUUUAAAUGAAUGAAUGUUUGAGUUGUGAAAUGUAGAGUUGAAAGUGACAUUGAUAUAUAUUGUAAGUGUAGGUAAGGAGAGAAAUAGAAAUGCAAGUAGAUAGGGACAUAAGAAGGUUACUUUAAAUGAAUGAAUGUUUGAGUUGUGAAAUGGAUAGAUGGAAGUGACUUUGAUAUAUGUUGUAAGUGUAGGUAAGGAGAGAAAUAUAAAUGCAAUUAGGUUGAGACAUGAGAAGGUUACUCUAAAUGAAUGAAUGUUUGAGUUGUGAAAUGUAGAGAUGGAAAUGACAUAGAUAUAUAUGGUUUGUGUAGGUAAGAAGAGAAAUAUAUAUGCGAAUGAAUGAAUGUUUGAGUUGUGAAAUGGAUAGAUGAAAGUGACAUUGAUAUAUAUUGUAAGUGUAGGUAAGGAGAGAAAUAUAAAUGCAAUUAGAGACACAAGAAGGUUACUUUAAAUUAAUGAAUGUUUGAGUUGUGAAAUGGAUAUAUGAAAGUGACAUUGAUAUAUAUUGUUAAGGUGUGCAAUAUUUCGUCAUAUAGCUUUUCGUCCUUAGAAAUUAUUUGCAAACCAAUUACCAACACUUUAUUAAUACUGUCAUUAUUGCUGCUUUUGAUUACUACUAUUUUAUUUUUAUUAACUUUACUACCGACCUCAAUGCAAUAACAGUAAUAGUAACUGGUAAAAAAGCAGGUGAGAUUUUGCUAAUUAAGGUAAAUGCAGGCAAACGAGGAUAUAAGUGAAUGAAAAUAUGAGUCAAUUUGAAAGAUAAAAAUAUAAAAGAAAAAUGUACGUUCCAAUAAAAAUAAUGAGAACAGGUAAAAAGGCAGGUGAGAACUUGUUAAUUAAAGGAAAUGGAGGUGAAUCAGACAAAAAAAUAUGGAAGGAAGUUUGUAUAAGUGAAUGAAUCAGAGUGAAUGAGGCAAUGGGUAUGAGUGAAAAAAAGAGAAAUGUAUAUUGUCGGUAGUUGAAGCAUUACACACCUUCGCUCCCAAGGUUAAUUAGCGAAAUUAGACCAGGUAAGAUGAAAGCGGGAGCGGCUGUUUUGAAGUGCCGACGUGAGGGGAAUGCAAGGAAGUAAAGGAAAACAAAGAUGAACAAAAACAAGAAUAAAAACAAGAACAAGGAAGAAAGAAAAAAAGAAACAUUAAUAAAAUAAUAAUAAUAAGCAACAACAAACGGGGAUAGAAUAGGAAGACGAAGUUGAUGAAAAAAAAGAGAGAGAGAACGCGAAGAAAAAAUAAAAGAAUAUGAUAAAGGAACAGAAAGAUAAGACUAAGUAAAGGAAGGAAGAGGAAGAAUAUACAGUAAAGGAGGAAGAGGAGAAAAAAAGAAAAAAAAUGAAGAUGAAAAAAAGUAAAAAAGGGAAAAAUGGAAAAUGGGAAGAAAAAGAAAGAAGAUAGAUGAGAAAAGAAACGAAAAAGGAGAAGCAGGAAUAAUUAAAAGAUGGAAAUAAAUGAAUAAAGGAAAAAGAAAAAAAAUAGAAGAAGAAAAAGAAGAAAAUAAAAGAAGAAGAAGAAGAAGAAGAAGAAGAAGGAGAAGGAGAAGACGAAAAAGUAGAAGAAGAAGAAGAAGACAUUAUAAUCUCUUAAAAAAAUCAAGCAGCCUGUUACAUUAUAAAACCUUGACCGAAAAUCGAGAACCAAACCCUACAAUUACUAAAUGAAAACAAAUAACGGCAAUUACAGCGCACCCAAAUACAGCGGCGAGAAAUCGGAGCUUUUGCAAACAACUAAAAAAAAAAAAAAAAAAAAAAAAAAAAAAAUCUCACGAACACAAUAUUUCGCCACUCAAGGAUUUUUUUUUUUUACCAAGCAGUUAUUUACCAGUCUAUUAUUAACACUUUAUCACUACUACUACUACUACUACUACUACUACUACUACUACUACUACUACUACUACUACUAGUACUACUACUUUUACCAUACCUAUUCCCACUUGAACACAAUAACAGUAAUUUCAGCAGGUAGACAGACAGGUGAGAUCUCAUUAAAUAAAAUAAAUGAAGGUAAUAAAUUGAUAUGCAAAUUAUUAUUACUACUAUUUUCUUCUUUACCUUUUCCCAUCUGCCUUAAUUAGAACAGGUGAAUAGACAGGUGAGGUUUGUUAACUAAGGCAAAUGUAAGGUAAUAAGUGUAGGUGCGAGUUAAUACUUCUCUAUAUAAAAUUUUAUCGCUACCAUUUUUCUCUUUACCUGCCCUUUUCACACCUGGACCCAAUAUCAGUAAUGAGAGCAGGUAGAGAGGCAGGUGAGGUCGUGUUAAUUAAGGAAGGUGGGGUGUUAACGACUCUGAUUAAACUUACACACGCAUACACAGGUCAUGAAAAGGUGCCUCUGUGUGUGUGUGUGUGUGUGUGUGUGUGUGUGUGUGUGUGUGUGUGUGUGUGUGUGUGUGUGUGUACCCUCACAUACCUUCACGGACAACCUUCGUGUUAAUCUUUUUUUUGGGGUUUGUUUUGUCAAGUGCAUACAUCAUCAUCAUCGUCAUCAUUAUCGUCAUCAUCAUCAUCAUCACUAUCAUCAUCCUCAUCAUCACUUACAGUUAUCGCUUUUGUUAUUAUUUUUUGUGAUAUUUUUUUUUCUUUUUUAAGUGUUCCUUCUUCCUCUUAUCCUCCUCCUCCUCAUCCUCCUCCACACACACACACACACACACACACACACACACACACACACACACACACACACACACACACACACACACACACACACACACACACACACACACACACACACACACACACACCACACACACACACACACAUA
Long non-coding RNA from Eriocheir sinensis (Chinese mitten crab), 3867 nucleotides. RefSeq lists it as uncharacterized. The record is from RefSeq and is a predicted model, not a curated record. NCBI's taxonomy places the organism in Eukaryota, Metazoa, Arthropoda, Malacostraca, Decapoda, Varunidae. The transcript is spliced from 2 exons.